Molecule: long non-coding RNA, 244 nt
Filed under: Panax ginseng (ginseng)
Lineage: Eukaryota; Viridiplantae; Streptophyta; Magnoliopsida; Apiales; Araliaceae
Description: long non-coding RNA (PGIN_LNC008950)
Source: RNAcentral
GACAAUUUGGACAUUAUUAGUUCCUGGAUAAAUUAAUUCUUGAACUUGUUUUAUUGAAUUCUUAUAUCAUUGUCAUCAUCCUCAUGUUUAUAUUUUUUUGAAAGUCAUCUGUGGCAUGUAGUGCAUAGAUGGACUUGGUAUGAUUAUGACCAGGGAUUAUUCGGUGUAAUCAUGACCGUAAUGUUACAAAUGAUGUGGUAAAAGUCCUCAUUGGCCCGUAGUGCAUUGAUGGACAGUUGUUGGC